Molecule: long non-coding RNA, 6550 nt
Organism: Rattus norvegicus (Norway rat)
Lineage: Eukaryota; Metazoa; Chordata; Mammalia; Rodentia; Muridae
Source: RefSeq, a predicted model, not a curated record
UAUCAUUACAGGAGUGGACUGGACUUAUGUGGUCUGGGAAUCAAACCUGUGGCUUUAUGCAUGCUAGGCAAGCACUCUACCAAAGGGGCUACUCCCUUGCCCUGAGGUGAGUACUAUGUGGUUGAAACCACAUGCCCAUGGGCUCCUGGCUCCUCUGGUGCAGGUCUGGUGCAGCUUUAAGCCCAGUUCCUAGCAGGGAACUUGCUUUCCAUGGAGAUUUUAUGAUCCUCCCUUAGGUCUCAGGGUAUUCGAGCACCUUCUGGCUUAGAGGUGGCAUUUGCUGUCUGAGGGUGGCUCUCUCUGGUUCUUGUUUACAGUCACCAGAUUCACAUUUUUUUCUCCAGCUGUUCUGUUAGAAAGGUCAUGUGCAAGUUCAGCUCAGGGGUCCUCGGGCAGGAUGGCGCCUUGUGCCCUGAGAAUGUGCUUCUGUCAAGCAGAUGCACACUCUCUCAAGAAUGCUGGGAGCAAAUCCUCUCUGUCAAGAGAGGAAGGCUGCUAGCACGCAGAAGGCUGAGGGGAGAUCACUAAGGCAAGGCUAACCGCAGCCACUGGCCUGAGCUGCACCCCUGUCUUGAAAUAAUAAUAAAAAGUAAGGACCAGUGGGAUAACUCAGUGGAUAAAGGUGCUUGCUGCUCAAAUCUGGUGAGCUGGGUUCGAUCCCCUUAACCUACAUAAAGGCCGAGGAGAGAAUCAACUCUAACUCAUACGUGCCCUCACAUGUACUAGCACACAGAAAAUAGUAAAUGCAAAGAAAGCCAAGUAAUGACUCCUCUAAUAAUAAAAAGAACAAAACUUAAAAUCUACUUAGACCCAUUACAUCUUUCCCCUUUUCCUCGUCGUGUUGUGUGGGCAACAAGACGUUUGUGAGAGUUCCCAUCGAGGGAGGUCUUGGGGCCACUGCCUAGUAUGCUCUCUAAGACCGGGACUGGUUAUCACACUGGCACCAGAGAAGCGCUAAAAGUGGAAGGGCUGCGGCAGGGGGAGUGCCGGCCAGGGUGAACUUAGCCCGGUUUUCACUAAGGUAGUUCUGAAGAGAGCAGCGUUUGAUGGAAUCUUACCUAGUUCAAAGACAUUAUUUUUGGCCUCUCCUUUCUCUUCUCUCCUUUUUUUCCUCUCCCCUUUCCCCUGUGACCUCCCGUUCCAGCUGAGUCCUCCUGUCCCCAGUUGCCCCACACUGUUCUCCUUGACCGGGUCUGUGCCUUGGGAAGACUCCACUCAGUUCUCGCGAUUUGCCAAGCACUGCAUCGAUGGCCUCGCGAGAAGAGAGUUCCUUAGCCUGCCUCACAGAUAAAUGAAGCUGACCUUGAAUUCCUGGGUUCAAGUGAACCAUAGUUUCCAAAGAAGCUGGAGCUACAGGCAAAUUAGAGGAAACCAGGAACAGCUCUGAGGAGGAGAAAGCACAGGUCUGCUCCAGAGGCUGAAGAGUUUUGGCUUCUCCGUUCUCGCAUAUCUCUGGAAGUCGCCACAGUAAUGACUGCUUCCCGUGACCAGUGGUUUACGUCAUUCCUCGGUGCUGAAGUGUAUGUACCCUUUGACUGGAGUGAUUUCCACACAUUCUGAAUAACAGAGUCUUCCCCUGAGUGUAACUUGAAUUCCCUGUCUUUGGUACGCACACUCUACAAUUACCUGAGCCUUUGUGUUUUCUGUCAACGCCUCCAUUUUUUAACAAGGUGGAAAUGGAGAAAUUACUUAGAAGCCCGAACAAAAGAGAAUGUAUGUUUCCAACACUUUGUAUAAAAUGCUAUCACUUUUGCAUUUUCGUUUGUGAUUAUGAUUUCGACCUUAAGUCUAUGACAUUGCAGGGCCUACAUUCUGUACCCACCACAUGCUUACCUGUGCCCUUCAGGGCAGGACGUAUGAGGCAUGUAUGUUUCACAUUGAGGUUCUCUGAGGACAUAGGGGCAGUAAUAAGCAGAUAGAAGUGUGAGGCGCCUUCUUACCUGCAGUCGAGUAAUCCCCUGGUGUGAAUCGGAAGGCUCCUCUUUCAUGAACAUGCACGCUCAGUGGCAUCAUGGGGCUUGUAGGGCUCCUGGGGGCUUUUGUGGACAAUCCUGAGAUCCUGAGGGCCCACCUGCCUAUUGUAAUUGGAGGGAGUAUCUGAUGUUUUUAAGACAGUCAGUCUUACUCUGGCUAGCCUAGAAAUCACUAUGUAUACAAGGUCUGCCUCCUCCACUUGAAAUUAAAGAUGUGGGAUUAAAGCCAUACAACCCCAUGCCUGGCCAAUGAAGCAAUUUAUUUAUUUUUCUUUUUAAAGACUUAUUUUUAUUUUACGUGCAUAGGUAUGCUCACACAGGCCAGAAUAGCGUUGAAUCUCUCACUAUGGGAGUUAUAAAUCAUCACAUGGGUGAUGGGAACUGAACCUGAGUCCUCUUUAGAGCAGCAAGUUCUCCUAACCACUGAGCCAUCCCUCCAGCUCUAAACUCCCUUCUUGAGAAAUGCUAUAUAUCCUGAAUGAAAAAACCAAACACAAAACCUUAGCAUGAGUCUUAGUUCAGCAAAAUAGUAGAUGGGACACAGGCUCACAGACAAUGGCAGUGUGUAUCAACCAGGAUUUAUUCUUCAUAAUCUGAGCAUGUUGGCACAUGCAUGUUAUUUUAGUAUUCUGAGGCUAAGGCAGGAGGAUUGUCAUGAGUUUGAGGCCAUCUUUGGCUAAAGAGUGAAAUUCUAUUUUAAAAACCAAACAAACAAAAUAGAUUUAUUGUUCCUGGUGGUCUAGGUGUAACUGAGUGGGAAGUAUGUGAGGCUUUGAGUUCAUACACACACACACACACACACACACACACACAUAGACACACAGAUACAUACCCAGACACAUAUAUACACAUACAUACACACAGACACAUACAUAAAGAUACACACAGAGGCACGCACACAGACACACAUGCACACAGAUACACACGCACAUAGACACAUGCAGACGCAUACACACACAUACACACACACACAGACACACACAUAGACACACAGAUACACACUCAGACACAUAUAUACACAUACAUACACACAGACACACACAUAAAGAUACACACAGAGGCACGCACACAGACACACAUGCACACAGAUACACACGCACAUAGACACAUGCAGACGCAUACACACACAUACACACACACAAAGACACAGACACACAGAUACCCAUACACACACACAGAUACAUAUAUACACAUACAUACACAUACAUAUACACAGACACACACAUAGAGACAUGCACAGACACAUAUGCACACAGACACAUACAUACAGACACAUAUACACACACAGACACAGACAGACACAGACACACAGACACACACACACACACACACACACACACACACACACCCCACAGGGAUGAAGUGGAUUUACUAUUCUGAAAAGAUAACUUGGGGAAGGCAGUCUAUGUCUCAGUUGAGUUGAGUAGUGUAUAAGUCUUGUGAGGUCUGCUCAUGCAACCUCAUGGAGGAGGAAGGCGCCCAGUGUCUGAUUUCCCCAAGGAUUGUGAAAGGAAACGUGGGAAGGAGAGAUCUGCUGAUUCUCUAGGGACCAAUUAAACAGACUCUAAGGACGAAAGCAGAAAAGGUUCAGCAGAGUUAAGGCGAGGGGGAAAAGUAAUUUUGGGGAUAACAGCCGUCAAUUAUUUUCCGGCUCGAGUGUUUUUUCGAAGGGCAGAGGGCAAGAAGCGUCGUGCAUCCUCCAAAACGAGACACAUUUCAUCAUGGAGACGUUAGAAGCAAAUUUGGCGCCCAAGACAGGUGCCAGAUUUUAAUUACAGUUGGCAUUUCUGAGCAUGCUUUUGGCAGAGGUGGCCAUCCUGUUGGAAAAGCCAUAGAUUUUGACACUAGCAGUAUGGGAUACCCAGUUGAGAACGGUUGCAAAUAAUUUCCCUCUAGUUCCCAUCCUGGUGGUCGUGAGCAAAAACUUCAGUGGUUUGAAUUUAAACCAGGCAUUCUGUAUUUUAAAAAAAACAAAACAAAACCAAAAAACCAGUUGUCAGUUGGAACUGUGUUGGGAAUUUGGUGUGCUGGAUCUUGGGGUAAUAAUUUCUAUUUUAGAGCCAAAAAAGAAAAAAGGAAAAAAAAAAAGCCCACCACCAGUUAAAACAAUAAAACAGGAUAUUUCGUUACAAGAAAUGAAGUUGGCAUGCAUCGGGCUUUCUGUUAAGUUCCAGGUCACAGACAAAUAAAGAAAAGUAUGUUAUGGGGAAAAAUCCUUUUUAAAAAUAAUUAGGGAGCUGUCUGUUUUGUUCACCAGAUGGAAAACCCGUAGUUGUGGGUGGUCUGUGUGAAAGAGGGCACCUCGAGAUUGGCAGGACUAUGCCUUUAACUCUGUAGUCCUGAGACAAAAAUCCCAGCCCUACUGACUGUUCCCGAGGCUUCAGUGCACAGUAGUUCUGCAUGGCUCAGCCUCCCUGGCUUCUACCUGUUUUCUAAGAUGGGUGGGUAGGAGGUAGGUAGGUAGGUAGGUAGGUAGGUAGGUAGGUGACAUCUCUGCCGGGCUGAUGGUUUGCUGGUCUUUGGAUUCCGAAGCAGGAUUCUUGCCCAGGCAGGGUAUCAUUAUGAUGAUAAUCUGACUUGUGGGAUUGUCUGUGUGCUUUGUUGAAUGCUCCUAUUAUUACAUAUAUGACUCAGUGCAGAUAGCAAAGCAUAUUUCAUGUGGAUAACAGAGAAUAUCAUAAGAGUUGGGUACGGUGAGGCCGUGGUGACCUGGAGGCCAGCCUGGGUUCUGUGUGAGUACUGAACCAGCCAGGGCUGUAUAGCAUGACCUUGUCUUAAAAGGGAGGCAAGUUUGCUGGAAAGAUGGCUCAGUGGUUAAGAGUGUGUACUGCGGGCUGGAGGGAUGGCUCAGUGGUUAGGAGCACUGGCUGCUCUUCCAGAGGUCCUGAGUUCAAUUCCCAGCAACCACAUGGUGGCUCACAACCAUCUGUAAUGGGAUCUGAUGCCCUCUUCUGGUGUGUCUGAAGAUAGUUACAGUGUACUCAUAUACAUAAAAUAAAAUCUUUAAAAAAAAAAAAAAAAGAGUGUGUACUGCUCUUACAGAAGACCCACGUUCAGUUCCCAGCACUGGCAUAAGUCAACUCAAAAGCCCCAGGCACAUUCUCACUUGUGCAAUUAAAAAUAAAAAAUAAAUCUUUAAACAAGGGUGGCUGGGGAUAUGGCUUACUUGUUCAUGUGCCAUGUGUAAGCAUGAGAACCCGAGUUUGGUCCCAGGACCUCACAUGUGGUAGUGAAUGGUUAGAAUCUCAGCACUGGGGAGCUAGACACAGGCAGGUCCAGCCUAGUCCACUGGAGGUCAGUGAGAGAAGCUGUCUUGCAGGCUCCUGAGUUUUCCUGGCCUCUGCAAACACAUGUGUGGCUAGUAAAGGCAGUUGCACCAUUUCUGAAACUUAGAAUCACAGUGGGCAUUGUAGUGAAAUUUACUCUCACUGCCUUCUUCUAUUAAUAAUAGAAAAUGAGUCAUGUAGCUUCACUGGUAGCUUUUUUUUUAAUGAGCAGUUUUUACAUAUGCAUGGAAGUGAUUUUUUUUUCUUCCCAGCUCAGUCUUUUAUGUCAUGUGGUUUUACGUCUGCAGAUUGGACUUCGGAAUGUCCUGUACUUGAACAUAAGGACACAUAUAUGUUUAUAUUCAUAUUUCAUUCAUAAAUCUACCCAACCUCCCCAAUUAAAACUACUAACAAUUAGAGGAGAGUUACAUUAGUAAAACUCGUCUGGAGUGCCCAAGCACACAUAUUUUCAAGUUGAAUGGGAUGGGGUGGCUUUUCUAGGACAGCAGCAUGGUGUCUAGUUUGAAUGGACAUGGAUCCUACUCAAGUGUAGUGCAGUGAUGAUCAGCUCCCUGUCCCCGCACAGACGCUGCACAGUCUGUCCUGUUUCUGGGCACUAAACAAUAGGUUUUUUUUUUCCAAACCGUAAUUUCACUCACGCUUUCAGUUGCAUUCGGUGAAGCUCCAUUUAUAGCAGCCUUUGUGGCUGUUGCCAGCUCACUUCAAGCUAAGACAAUCAUGCACAGAGAUCAGUUUUAACUAAAGUACUAUUACACCAGUGUGAUAGGCCAAGUGUAGCCUGUGAAUAACAGGAGCAUCCUGAAAACCCAUGUCAAGAGGGUAGAAAAGCUAGCUGGCGUAACAGUAAGGAGGCAGUUUCUUUGGGAGAUUUUACGAAUUUGCCACAGAAGGUGGGAAGGGCAGAGACAAUUUGAAACAUUGUUUCUGAACAUUACAGGAUUCUUUAUGCAGCAGAGAAUCAACAGAGGGCAACAGUAGCAGCCUCAGGUGUUAGCUAGGGAGACUCUCCUUACCCAGCAACAUAGAAACUGUCAUCAUAUUGGCAUAUCCUGGGGCAGUGAAAUGGCUUUGUGGGUAAAGGUGCCUGCUGCCAAGCCUGACAACCUGAGUUCGAUCCCUAGAAGGGGAAAACCAGCUCCCACAAGUUGUACUUUGGCCUCCACAUAUCAUGUGGAACACACACACACACACACACACACACACACACACACACACACACACUCACACACACACACUCACAGGAGAAAACCCUCCAUGACCUUGUUGUGUCCUUUACAUUUGGACCCCAGC